RNAcentral lists this ribosomal RNA (720 nucleotides) under uncultured eukaryote. RNAcentral describes it as "bacterial SSU rRNA". It matches the Rfam family "Eukaryotic small subunit ribosomal RNA", at positions 674 to 1426 of the family's 1831-position model. The record is from RNAcentral.
GGGCCACCGUUUGUUGAGUGCAAAUAUGGAUGACUGUUUUUGCCGGCUUCACUGUCGGCUUAUAAGGGUUAUCAAAUAUCACUUUGAUUAAAUUAGAGUGCUCAAAGCAGUGUGUUACUUGGAUAUAAAUGCAUGGAAUGAUGGAAUAUGUUGUUGUUCUAUUUGUCGGUUUUUGAACGAUGAAAUGAUUGAAAGGAACCGUUGGGGGCAUUCGUAUUGUUGUGAGAGAGGUGAAAUUCUUAGACCACAGCAAGACGAACUACUGCGAAAGCAUUUGCCAAGAAUGUUUUCAUUGAUCAAGAACGAAAGUUAGAGGUUCGAAGGCGAUCAGAUACCGCCCUAGUUCUAACCAUAAACUAUGCCAACUAGCAAUCUGCUUAUAUAUGUUCUAUGAUUAAGUAGGCGGCCACGGGAAACCAAAGUAGGGUUAUGGGGGAAGUAUGGUUGCAAAGCUGAAACUUAAAGGAAUUGACGGAAGGGCACCACCAGGAGUGGAGCCUGCGGCUUAAUUUGACUCAACACGGGAAAACUUACCUGGUCCUGACACUAGAAGGAUUGACAGAUUGAUAGCUCUUUCUUGAUUUGGUGGAUGGUGGUGCAUGGCCGUUCUUAGUUGGUGGAGUGAUUUGUCUGGUUAAUUCCGAUAACGAACGAGACUCUAGCCUAUUAAAUAACACACAGAAUCUUGUCUUCUGUGGUGUUUCUUAAUGGGAUCAAGUG